GGGCCGUGAGUCAUCCGGACCGCGCCCCCCGCCCGCGGCCGAGCGCACGUGAGCGCGCGCCGCGCUGGUUUCUAAGUUUAGCUCGGCGGCCUGUGUGGGGUCGGGAGAGAAGCGGCGGGAAGUUAGUGGUGGAAUAAAGGUAGCUCUGCGGAAGAUGACCUGAAUGAAGGACAGAAACCCUGAAGUCCAAAUAUUUUCAUUUAGGGGAUUUUCUCAGAGGAAAGAAAGAAGAGUGGCAAUGGUGAAGAGAAAGGAAGAGAGAUAUUGACUAAAUGAAUGAUGAAUGAAUGAACAGAGCAAGGAAACUGCUAGAGGGGGUGCUCUGUCAAAAUGAGGGGAAAAUCCAAGAGGAAAUUGUCAGAUCCUGGAACCAGGGGCCCCAAGUAGUGUUGCAAAGGACUAAAGGAGAGAGAGAGUCCAUCAUCUUGCACCUAGGAGAUCUACCCUAACUACCUUCUCAGAGACUGUAUGUGUUGGAACAGUUGUGUCUGCAGUCCCCAGGGCAGUGUGGAGCCCGUGAGGGGGCUUCCAGUGGGGGCACAAGGUUGCAGCCGUGGACUUAGAAAUCCACCACUUCCAGGGGCUCCUGGGUGGCUCAGUAGGGUCUCAGUGACCCCACCUGUCAAGUGAGUUGAUGGCAAAGGCCCAAGGGAGCCCUACGGCAAGGAGAUGAAGCCCAUGAGCUGCAGAGUCAGGAUACCGGGGUACAAAUCUCCAGCUUCCUGAGUGAUUUAAAGACUUCCCUAGGGACCAACCCUUUAGGGACGCAGCUGCUACAGCUCCUUCCAGCAUUUGGGCUCUUGGCACACCUGCCGGGAUUUGCUCAGGAGAGGCCUUCCACCAAGCCCACCGGCCCCUGCAGCCACUUCCUGCCUGCCUCUGCUCUGCUGGAUAGGCCAUCACUCAGCCUGUGCUGUUCCCACCGCUUGGCCAGUGACCAAGCUGUUCCCUGGACUCCUCUGCUGAAGGGCUUGAUUCGUGGAGGUGGUGAGGCUCGCGGAGAACCACACGUCCCAGGGGCCAUCUAGGUACCAGGCGGCGGAGAACUUGAACGCACCACCUCAUCGGCUGUCAGGCACAGUCACCCUUUGGGAAUCUAAAACUUCCUGUUCCUCACACAUGGGGUCCCCAAAAGUCUAGAUUGUUAGGCAACUUUGCUUAUGACCUGAGUCUCCUGGAAUACAGUUGUGACCAUCUGUGUGAGUGGAGCUCAGGCAGGGCCACCAAGCCACUGAUCCAUGGGAUCACAUGGCUCCAUGUAACAGGACUCUUAGAGAACCCGUGCUUCUUCCCUUAUGUGACAUAAGCCCUGAACUCCGGUGGACCAUGCCUUCGAGUGUCCCAGGCUGCUUCUACUCUUUUGCUCUGCCAUACUUAGCAUGUGACUUCUGUUUUCAGGGCUGCCAUGUGGUCAUGUGACAGGGCCCCUGUGACUUCAGCUCAUCACAUUCACCUUCCAGCCAAGGAAAAGGGGGAAAUAGUGAGGGACAAGAGCACAGCUGAAUCUGCCUAUUUUAAGGCGCCUUUCCCAGUGACUAUCACUUACAUCUCAUCGGGCCUACGUGUGACCCAUGUGCACCCUCACUGCAGAGGAGUCUGGGAAAUGUAGCUUCUCAGCUGGGCACGUUGCUGCCCAUAAAUAAAAAAAUUGAGAUUCUGUUCAUGAAGGAAAGGGGGGAGUAGGGUUGGAGUGGGUACUUCGCUGUCUCUACCCCAGUUGGGAUAAUCGAGGAAGACUUCAUGAAGAAGCAGAGCACUGUAGGAUCAGAUAAGUUGCCAUGCACCAGGUGCUUUACCACUUACAGGUAGGGGAAGGGAGGCUUCUCCUAUUACCCUCCCACGUGAAGGAGCAGUUCCAGCGCCCAUUUUAGAGAUAAGGCAAACAAAGCCUAACGUUCAAUAACUCACUCAGUGUCAUACAGCUAGUAAAUGGCAUCCAGAUUCAAACUCCAGACUCCACCACACUCCCUUCUCCCCUCCAGGCUCACCUCCCAUCUCAGGAUGCCUCUGCAAAGAAGGAAAGAAAGAUCCAGAGAGUGUGUAUCCAGACCAGGACCCUGACAGGGAGGAAUAGGGAAUAGAGAUUCCCAGAUUGCUCCAAGUGGCAAUUUUUGAACAUAAAGAUAUUUACCUAUGGCUGGUUCCCAGAAGAAUUUAUUUUACACUUUAAGAAAAGAAAAGGCAUUUGCAUAAAGUAAAAGUCAAAAAUCACAUGGAAGCCUGGGAUGAGAGCACCUUUUGUGGGGAACCCCAGGGGCAAGGCAAGGGACAGAGGAAGAGGCCGGCCCCUGGCUGGGAGGAGCAGCAGGGCAGGGGAGCAGUGGGGCUCUAGGCACCACCAAGUCCCUCCUGCUCUGGCCAGCAGCCAGCAGUCUGUCACCUGCCAGGAGCUGGGGGGAGGGAGGCAGGUCAUGUGAGGAACAAAGCCUGGCAGCUCAGUGUCCUGGGAACACUGUCACCCGUGGCGAGGUGACCCUUGGCAAAGCUCUGAGUGCUCUCUGCUUGGGGCCACAUUCCUGUCCUCCGAGGCUUCUGUGUGGCUCAAGUGGAACAGAACUGGAGUCCCCGACUCCUACAGGGGUGUCCCCAAACCAGGGAAAUCCUAGGGCCUCAGGUUUCACCUCAGUUUUGGAAGUUUAGGGGUUAGGGUGCACCUGGGGCGCCCCCUCUAGGCAGGACCUGGGACUGCAGUUACCUGCUAAUCUCAUGAACGGAGAACUUAAUACUGUUGUCUGGUAGGUGACCGUCCUGUUAACUAAAAUCUGGAAAAAUAGGGACGCCUGGGUAGCUCAGCCGUUGAGCCUUUGGCUCAGGGCGAGAUCCUGGAGUCCCAGGAUCAAGUCCCACAUCGGGCUUCCUACAUGGAUCC
This is a long non-coding RNA of Canis lupus familiaris (dog), 2869 nucleotides long. RefSeq lists it as uncharacterized. The record is from RefSeq and is a predicted model, not a curated record. NCBI's taxonomy places the organism in Eukaryota, Metazoa, Chordata, Mammalia, Carnivora, Canidae. The transcript is spliced from 9 exons.